GGGGUUGUGGCUCAGCGGUAGAGUGCUUGGCUAGCAUGCAAGGUCCUGGGUUUGAGCCUCAGCACCACA
RNAcentral lists this transfer RNA (69 nucleotides) under Marmota monax (woodchuck). RNAcentral describes it as "tRNA.Ala". The record is from RNAcentral. Lineage: Eukaryota; Metazoa; Chordata; Mammalia; Rodentia; Sciuridae.